RNAcentral lists this ribosomal RNA (988 nucleotides) under Boulengerochromis microlepis (giant cichlid). RNAcentral describes it as "partial 16S ribosomal RNA". The stretch from base 193 to 710 matches the Rfam family "Bacterial large subunit ribosomal RNA", at positions 573 to 1301 of the family's 2925-position model. The record is from RNAcentral. Lineage: Eukaryota; Metazoa; Chordata; Actinopteri; Cichliformes; Cichlidae.
CGCCCAAUAGCUAGCUCACCCAUCAACCCCAAACCAACCCUAUUUAUAACCCCAAAUACACCACCCCCUCAACAACAAACCAUUUUUCCACCUAAGUACGGGCGACGAAAAAGGACCUAGAAGCAACAGAGAAAGUACCGCAAGGGAAAGCUGAAAGAGAAAUGAAACAACCCAGUAAAGCACAAAAAAGCAGAGACCGCCCCUCGUACCUUUUGCAUCAUGAUUUAGCCAGAAAACCUCAAGCAAAAAGCACUAUAGUUUGAUACCCCGAAACUAAGCGAGCUACUCCAAGGCAGUCUAAUUUAUAGGACCACCCCGUCUCUGUGGCAAAAGAGUGGGAAGAACUUUGAGUAGAGGUGACAAACCUACCGAGCCUAGUUAUAGCUGGUUGCCUGAGAACUGAAUAGAAGUUCAGCCCUUUAAAUUCUUCAUCCCCAUUAGCCCAAAACCUUCACACCGAACAAAAGAAAUUAAAGGAGUUAGUCAAAGGGGGUACAGCCCCUUUGAAACAAGAUACAACUUUCCAAGGAGGGUAAAAAUCACAACAAACUUAAAGGUUAAACAUUCUAGUGGGCCUAAAAGCAGCCACCUAUUCAGAAAGCGUUAAAGCUCAAACAUUACAUAACCAGCCUUCUAAUAAAGACAACAUAAUUUCACCCCCCUGAACCUACCAGGCCGCUCCAUAGAAAUAUGGAGGCGUUUAUGCUAAUAUGAGUAAUAAGAGAACCCCUCUCUCCCCGCACAAGUGUAACUCGGAACGAACCACUCACCGACCAUUAACGGCCCCAAAACAAAGAGGUCCCUAGGCAAAAAACAAACAACUAGAAAACCACCUAGCCCCCCACCGUUAACCCCACACUGGUGUGCCAACCGGGAAAGACUAAAAGAAAAAGAAGGAACUCGGCAAACACAAGCCUCGCCUGUUUACCAAAAACAUCGCCUCUUGAACCCCUAAACAUAAGAGGUCCCGCCUGCCCUGUGACUAUAA